AUGGCUCAAUCAGGCAACACCUUAGUCAGGCCAAACUGGUAUUUAUACAUGGAUAAAUCAAGCAAUACCUUACUCAGGUGGAACAUAUACAGAAAGUUGAGCAGAGUCAUGGUAGGAUAUGUUGCCUAUGUUCAGUUCGAAUUCUCUUCUUUAGACAUAUGUGUGACACAAAAAAUGAAACAAAAACAAAUGAAAAUGGACACCGUGGUACACACCCAGGCUAAAGUUUUCCCAAUUCACAUACACAGCUCUCGGAUCAGCUACCCAAAAUGGCACCAAAGCAGCUCACACGCUGAAGAAUCGGCAGCUCGGCGUAGCUCUGGGGAGCAGGCAAUGGCGUGGUAA
This 345-nucleotide ribosomal RNA is filed under the name Triticum aestivum (bread wheat). Its description in RNAcentral is "partial small subunit ribosomal RNA". Lineage: Eukaryota; Viridiplantae; Streptophyta; Magnoliopsida; Poales; Poaceae. The record is from RNAcentral.